UAGCUCAGUAAUUGUUAUGGGAUUAAAUGGAAUAAUAAAUGUAAAGCACUCAGCCCAUGCCUGGCACGUCCCUGCUGAAGGUUCCUGGCUAAUGGUAUUAUUCUUUUCCCUGCCUGUUGGCUACGCAGACAUUGUGUUAGAGCCUGGGCAAAGUUCCAUCACACACGUAUACACGUGUGGGUCCUUACAGACUCACACAGGGGAUCCUACUGCACACCCUACUUACAGUCUCAGUAAUUAUCCCACGCCCAGACCUACGUGAAUUUCAUACACCUUAGAGUUCAUGCCCAGACAGUACAGAAGCUGCUAUGGAAAGGCUGGAAGAAGGGGUCUUAGGCAGACAAAUGCUCUCUCCAGUCCAAAAGGAGACGCGCGCAAAAAUGAAAGUGUCUUUAUUACUGCAUAUGCUGGAGCACACAAGAAGCCAGCUCAGGUGACAAGGAGCUGGUCACAUGCAACCAAUCAUCCUGAUUGUCUCUACAGAGACGCCCAGGGUGGGAGGCACUGGCACCGAGAUCACGAGGGAAUAUGAGACCCAUCGAGCCAUCGUUAGAGCCACUGUGGGGAACAGCUUCCCUGGCUGGAACCGGCUGGCACAGCCACUGGAACCCUCUUAAUGCCCGGGUAAGAGCUGAAGUCUGGAGUAAAGCUGAGGGGUCCUGCUCCAGGGCUGGGGAUCUAGGGGCUCUGGCCUUGUCCACUCCUCACCCUGGGGAACAAAGACCAUAAUGACAACCUAACUUUACAGAACAAUAGAACUUUACAGAACUGAACAGUUGGACAGCACUUUACAGUUUAUAACCCUGUCUCUCAUUCAUUAUACCAUUUAAUUCUCAAGGAAUCCUGUGAGAUGCAGGUGACAUUGUCCCUCAUUAACCGAAAAAGAAACCGAAGUUCAAAUACUCUGAAAGAUGCAGCGCAGUAGAGAUGGCCCAUGGUGGGCCCCAAAUGCAGAGUGCUUCUGAGAGCCCAGUUCGACCUCAGCUUUGAUCCAGAGGCACAUCUAGUAUUUUCAUAUUACAAAUAGGUCAGGUUUUACCCACCAGAGUGUAUCCAUUAAUGAGCAAGUGCAUUGAGUUCCUAUGCCAGGUGGUGUGCAAAGAGCUGACAAAAGAAUGGUGAGUGAGCUGACUUAGUCCUCGAGUCAAUUAAAGAAAGCCUCAACUUCUUUGCAUGCCUGUCACUGAGAAGUGGGGUACAUUCGCCCUCCUCAGAAUCUGGGUUGGCCUGUGACUGCUUCGACCAGCAGAGGACAGAACAAGUGCCUCUUUGAGGGUUUCCGCCUUGGUCGUUUGGCUCCCUGGCCACUCUUGCAUGAGUCCAGCCACCCUGAAGAAAGGACAUGUGAAGAGGGAGAGGGGCCCAGCAGAGCUCAGGCUUCCAGCCUUCUUGUCAAGGUACCAGACAUGUGAGUUCAGCCUUCUUGGACCCUCUGGACCAGUCUGGCUUCUACUGAGUGCCACUGAGAGGUCAGGAUCACCUAAGGCUGAAUAAAAUCCUUCCUGAAGUCCUGAUGCA
RNAcentral lists this long non-coding RNA (1518 nucleotides) under Sus scrofa (pig). RNAcentral's name for it is "lncRNA (ENSSSCG00070022770.1)". The record is from RNAcentral. Lineage: Eukaryota; Metazoa; Chordata; Mammalia; Artiodactyla; Suidae.